UACGAAGGGACCUAGCGUAGUUCGGAAUUACUGGGCUUAAAGAGUUCGUAGGUGGUUGAAAAAGUUGGUGGUGAAAUCCCAGAGCUUAACUCUGGAACUGCCAUCAAAACUUUUCAGCUAGAGUUUGAUAGAGGAAAGUAGAAUUUCUAGUGUAGAGGUGAAAUUCGUAGAUAUUAGAAAGAAUUCCAAUUGCGAAGGCAGCUUUCUGGAUCAUUACUGACACUGAGGAACGAAAGCAUGGGUAGCGAAGAGG
Molecule: ribosomal RNA, 253 nt
Filed under: uncultured Pelagibacterales bacterium
Lineage: Bacteria; Pseudomonadati; Pseudomonadota; Alphaproteobacteria; Candidatus Pelagibacterales
Description: partial 16S ribosomal RNA
Rfam family: Bacterial small subunit ribosomal RNA
Source: RNAcentral